Molecule: ribosomal RNA, 482 nt
Filed under: uncultured bacterium
Lineage: Bacteria
Description: bacterial SSU rRNA
Rfam family: Bacterial small subunit ribosomal RNA
Source: RNAcentral
AUCGUAACUCCUACGGGAGGCAGCAGUGGGGAAUUUUGGACAAUGGGGGGAACCCUGAUCCAGCCAUGCCGCGUGUGUGAAGAAGGCCUUUUGGUUGUAAAGCACUUUAAGCGAGGAGGAGGCUACUCUAGUUAAUACCUAGGGAUAGUGGACGUUACUCGCAGAAUAAGCACCGGCUAACUCUGUGCCAGCAGCCGCGGUAAUACAGAGGGUGCGAGCGUUAAUCGGAUUUACUGGGCGUAAAGCGUGCGUAGGUGGCCAAUUAAGUCAAAUGUGAAAUCCCCGAGCUUAACUUGGGAAUUGCAUUCGAUACUGGUUGGCUAGAGUAUGGGAGAGGAUGGUAGAAUUCCAGGUGUAGCGGUGAAAUGCGUAGAGAUCUGGAGGAAUACCGAUGGCGAAGGCAGCCAUCUGGCCUAAUACUGACACUGAGGUACGAAAGCAUGGGGAGCAAACAGGAUUAGAAACCCUUGUAGUCCUAGAGC